GAAAUGUGAUAAUUAAUGUGAAUUGCAGAAUUCAGUGAAUCAUCGAGUCUUUGAACGCACAUUGCGCCCCUGGUAUUCCGGGGGGCAUGCCUGUCCGAGCGUCAUUGCUGCCCUCAAGCACGGCUUGUGUGUUGGGCUUCCGUCCCUGGCAACGGGGACGGGCCCAAAAGGCAGUGGCGGCACCAUGUCUGGUCCUCGAGCGUAUGGGGCUUUGUCACCCGCUCCCGUAGGUCCAGCUGGCAGCUAGCCUCGCAACCAAUCUUUUUAACCAGGUUGACCUCGGAUCAGGUAGGGAUACCCGCUGAACUUAAGC
RNAcentral lists this unclassified non-coding RNA (313 nucleotides) under plant metagenome. Its description in RNAcentral is "partial contains 5.8S ribosomal RNA, internal transcribed spacer 2, and large subunit ribosomal RNA". The stretch from base 1 to 104 matches the Rfam family "5.8S ribosomal RNA", at positions 50 to 154 of the family's 154-position model. The record is from RNAcentral.